GACAACGACAUCUUCUGGCGUGCGCAGGUUCUCCCGCUCUUGGGGAGUCACUACCUGCUAGGCUACGUCGACGGAUCGCUUCCCUGCCCACCCGCGCUGGUAGACAGCGUGCACGGUCCGGUCUACAAUCCGGCCCAUCGCGUCUGGACGGGGCAGGACCAGGCGAACCUCUCCUCCAUCCAGGGGUCGCUUUCGCCGGCAGUUGCCGGCCUUGUUGUCUUCGCAAAGACGUCUCAUGAGGCCUGGACCAUCCUUGAGCGCACCUUUGCAGCGCAGUCCCAGGCUCGUGUCUCUGCACUUCGUCGUCAGCUUGGAGAGUGUCAGAAGCUUGACUCCACGGCCACUGAGUUCUACAACAAGGUCAAGGGCCUUGCCGACACAUUGGCCUCCAUUGGACAGCCCCUCACCGACUCCGAGUUCAACUCGUUUAUUGUCAAUGGUCUUGAUGAGGAGUAUGAUGCCUUAGUCGAGAUCAUCAACGAGCGGGGUAACUCGACACCCAUGUUGGCACACGAGGUUUUCUCUCGGCUUCUUCUCACUGAGCAACGGGUCGAGACUCGCCGCACCAGGGGCACUGGCUCUCUCUCGGCCAACAUCGCCACCAAGGGUGGCCGCUCUUCUUCAUCACCCCGGUCUCCCUUGGGGCUGCCACCGUCGCCCGCCUCGGCCCCCCCACCUACUGCGACCUUAUCGGGGGCUGGCGGUCCACGUGUGUGUCAGCUUUGUGGCCGCGAUGGGCACUGGGCCUCCAAGUGUCAUAAGCGCUUCCAGCGAAGCUUC
This 780-nucleotide ribosomal RNA is filed under the name Triticum aestivum (bread wheat). RNAcentral's name for it is "partial small subunit ribosomal RNA". Lineage: Eukaryota; Viridiplantae; Streptophyta; Magnoliopsida; Poales; Poaceae. The record is from RNAcentral.